GUGGCAGUAGCUCAGUGGAAGAGCUCCCACUUCGUACGCGGGAAGACCUGGAUCCGAUUCCCGGCUGCUUACC
Molecule: non-coding RNA, 73 nt
Organism: Toxocara canis (dog roundworm)
Lineage: Eukaryota; Metazoa; Nematoda; Chromadorea; Rhabditida; Toxocaridae
Source: Rfam